GUUGAGGGUGCAUGCUGCACAAAAUUAAAGUUAAAAAGUAAAACCCCCGUUCCUUACCAGUUCGGGGGUUUUACUUUUU
This 79-nucleotide small RNA is filed under the name Escherichia coli str. K-12 substr. MG1655. RNAcentral describes it as "small regulatory RNA OhsC". It matches the Rfam family "Oppression of Hydrophobic ORF by sRNA". The record is from RNAcentral. Lineage: Bacteria; Pseudomonadati; Pseudomonadota; Gammaproteobacteria; Enterobacterales; Enterobacteriaceae.